This is a long non-coding RNA of Gallus gallus (chicken), 26041 nucleotides long. The record is from Ensembl. Lineage: Eukaryota; Metazoa; Chordata; Aves; Galliformes; Phasianidae.
GGGCGGCCUGGAGCGGGGAGCUGCGUGCCGCAAGUUUUGCCCGGAGUGCCAAAGUUGGGCUCAGCCCAGGUUCCUGGAAACUUGAGGAGCAAUCUUCUGUGCCUGAAGAAUGCAGUUCUCACCGGAUGUGUGUAUCCUACAUGAAGGGGAACAGAAGCAGGAUCAGCUGGGGUCCAGGAAAGACAACUUCAGGAGAUUUGAGAGCACUCUGGAGUGAACCAGGAGGAAGCCUUGAACUACAAUUGUGUCAAUAAGAGUGGCUGUCCUUGGGAGAUGCUGAAGCUCAGCUUUAUCAUGAACUUUUCUUACACCCCUCAACAUAUGCACAAAGGACUUAAUUUUGUUUGGGAUUCAUGUGGUAUGAAAGAGUCAUGGCUGUAUGGGUUUCUUCCUCCCUUCACUUGAUGUCUGUAUGUUUCCUGCAGUCAGUAAUGAAGUCUGUACAAGGUCUGCUGACAUUUGGUUUGCUUUCAAGAGCUCUGAGUGACAGGUACUGUAAACAUCCUACACUCUCAGCUGUGGAAACUAAGAAAGCUGGGAGAAGGCUGUUUACUCUCCCUGGCUUGGAAAUCAUCUGGAGGGCGAGGAUGGAACGUUGUGAGCUCUGUGUUCAUUGUAUUUCUGACAGCCUGUACUUCUUAUUUUAUGUUUGGUGUCAGUAAACAAAUAAUAGCAUUAUAUCAUGCCAUCAAGCUCUUGAGUUCUGACUGAGGCUUGAACUCAUAAUAAUAAUUUUAAAAAAGGGCCUUUUGUACAAUACACUUAGCUGCAGUCCUGGCUUUAGGGAAACGCAAAUGGUAGCAGUAACACACAACAAGACCUUCAUCCUUAAAUACUGGGUAAAACAGACCUAUUUUACUGUUUGUUACAAGUUAGUGUGCAUGUUUUCAGGUCCACACAUCAGUGGUGUCUUUUGUUAAAGUCCUCCUUAAAUGUUUGGGUCUUGUGUUCACUCAAUUUAUGUUUUCCUACCUAGAGAGACUAGAAACAGAUGUCUGAAGGCAAAAAAAGGGUUCUCGGGGACUUCAAGUUUCAGUUCCUAUUUGAAGAAAUUGAGAUAUCAACCCCAGGUAGCUCUGUUUUUGAAUAAACUAAAUUAAAGAUGCAAAAGUAUUUAGCUUGGGUUUUAUACUAGCUCUUCUCUGCCACCUGCCAUCCAGACUGAAUUAUUGUUUGUACUUUUCUUGGCAAUCUUUCUUCUUUCUCUCGUUUCUAUUUCCCAUUAGUUAAGUAGGGCUUCUCAUUUUAAAUGUAGAAUAAUUUUUUACUUUCAUUUUAAAUCCAAAAUCGUACUGGCAUGGACUAAAUCCUCAUAAAAUGUACUUUUACAGCUAUUCUUAAGCAGUGAUGUUGGCAGAAAUGCUAUUAUUCAUGCACUUUCUUUUUUUAAAUUUAUUGGAGGGAGCCAUCUUUUGUGCUUUCAAAGAAUUUCUUCGUAAUUCAGUUAAGUGCAAAGAUAACCUUUUCUCUAUCGUCAUAUUUAAAGAUCUGCUGCUUUAGACUUUUAGCAAAAGUAUUUAAACAAAAAAGCUCUGAUAUAAGAAAUGUCCUAAAGAUUUUAAGUAAUUGGAUUUGGGAAGUGAUGGAAGUGGAAAGAGAACAGCAGAAUGGUAGAUCUUGUAAGGUUGUGAAAUAGUACUUCUGCAAAGUGGUCAAAAAAGGGAAUUCAAACAGGCAGAUCUUUAAAGAAAAGAGGGUGGGAAAAGUCCGUGUUCUGAAGCAGUAAUUAUUUAGGAAAAGGAAGUGGAGGGAAAGAAAGUCCUGGGGUCCAGUAAAGUACCAUAGACAGGGUUUAAGAUGAUGAGAUGAGGUCUGGCUUUACAUAAACCUGAAGAACUGGUGUUCAUGAGGUUUUGACUCUUGAUAUGUACAGUGAUACUACAAGUGAGGUUAGUCUUAUAAAAAGAUGGUUUUAUGGAGAAAUGAGUUGUUCAGACUAGUAAAACGAUAGAGGGUAGCAUUUCCUAACACACGUGGUUCCCUCGGCAGAGAGAUAUCUCCAACAGUGAUGGAGCACAGAAUUCUAUCCUCCAUCCUAUGAUAAUUCUGAUUGUAGGCUGUGCUGUUGAGAACACAGUUUCUUGAAAGGAGACGUCAGCUUUAAUAUGUGUUUUACUGUCUUUUUUGUUUUUAAUAUAGAUUUGCUUUAGGCUAGGAACCGCUGUUUUCUGUCAGAUGGAAAAAUCUAUGUUUAGCAUUAUCUAUUUGCUGUCUAAUGGUGAAAUUCCAGCUUUCGUUUUAUCUGUGUAAGUUGGGACUGUUGAAGCUUUUCUCAUACGUUUUUCCUUGGCCAUUCUUUCCUGUGGUUUCACUUGUGCUGGUAUUAAUGUUUGUUUAAACAGUGAGCUUACAGUGGCUCGACUCAGCUGAAAAUUAAACAAGCAAACCAGCUUUUAUCUGGACCAGAUGAGUAAGAGCUUACUGCACUACCAUGGUGCUGUGGCCAAAAUGCUGAUACCUUCAAACAUGUCCACCUUUCUGAAGGGCUAGAACAGAUUUUGCUGUAAAUAAGACCAUCGAAUCCUAAUGCAAUGAGAGAGUGAAAACACAGGAUUUUGAAUGCUCUUGUAUUUGGCAGUAGAUUGUUCUGUUGAUGCUGUUUGAAAGCAAUUGCCAGCAUAGUGCUGAAAUAAAUUUGGAUUAAAUUAUCAUGAUUAAAACUUUUGAUUUCUUGACAGCUAUUUAUGCUUCUGUGUCUUUGAAAGAUUUGUUUAUAAAGUGUAAUAAACAAAUUGUGUUGGUAAUGAGGAGCUACCAGUAAUUUUGCUGCCUCCAGAUCUUUAACUGUAAAGGUAUCUUUGGAUAUAUUUGCACCAGACAAAGCAUUGUGUAAAUUGCAUUAUUUCUAGGUCAUGUUUCGGUCUUUUUCUGUAAGUAUCACUUACCAAGCCAAAGGCAAGCUGAACAUUCUUUUCUUGUGCAAAACUCAGAUUUCAAGGAGUUUAAGACUUUCCAAUCAACUAAACAUAGAACUUUCCUAUUGUGAAAAAACAUACUCAGCUUUUUCAAAACUGUUGCCAAUAAUGAGUUUUGGGUUGGGUCCUUAGGUAAUCUGGAGAGCUACCGCAGCAAAUUGUCUGUGGGAAAUCUGUGAUUGGAGGCAUGGGCAAAAUCUGUGAUUGUAGGCAUGGGCCUUUUGCUGGUUUUUUUUUUUUUUCUUAAUGAGUGUUCUGCUAAGAUGCAAAAGUGACUUACUCUGUGUGAUUCUUGGCACUGCUCAGGACGGUGUCAUUCUUGUGUGCUAAGCUCAACGUGUUCCUUGGAUUGGCUGAUUGACUUUUAAAUGAGGAAGAAGACAUCUUACUAAUUAACCUUUUCCUUACUGCUAAGCAUUAAAGUGUAGGGGGUGAAAAUUACAGUACUCAAAUUUAAUAUAUAUGCUUCACACACGUGAAGCAUAUAUAUUUUUUUCUAGGCUACAUUUUUGAUUAUGUAGCCCCUAGAAGUAAUUACCUAAUAUCCAGUUUUGGUAGUGUAGGGAGUGACUGUGGGAAGAAAGAGUGCUUGGGAGUCCUUGGGCAAAGCUGUCUCUUGUUUGAAGAUUGCAGCCUGACCUUGGGUUUUACAAGUGGAAUAUUAGAGAAACAUUGCAUUAGAAGUUUCAAAGAGCUGCCAGUGGGGGAAAAGGGAGGUGAAGGAGAAAGAGAGGAAGAGAUGUGGGUUACUUGUCAUACAAAGGGGGGGGGAUAAUAUCCAGCUCAUUUUCAGUGCAAAUGAUUUCUUGAUAAUACAACAAAAGAGCAACAAUUGUCCUUGAUGCUUAUACAAAAGUUGAGGAUUUCUUUUAUGCAGUAAAUCUGACUGUCAGGGACUCUAAUUCAGUGUGUGAGAAUUGAAAGGUUUGUGACAAGCUAUUGUACUUUGAAGACCUCUAUUUUAAAAUCAAAGAAAAAGAUUGCUUUGAAUGAGAGAGUGGAAGAAUAAGGCAUUAUAUGGGCUUCAGUUACAACUGCCCCUGAAAUUAGUGGAUUCUAGACUUGAAUAUUUUCUGAGCUGUGAUGGAGAUAAACAUGUAGAAGCAACUCUCUGUGUACAAAAAAUAAACAGGUGUAACAUCUAUAAUAUAUUUGGAAUGUGUAAUAGCAUUAGUUAUUUAUUAGUUAUAUAUAUAUAUAUAUAUUAGUUGUUAUAAUAUAGUUUGGAAUGUGUAAUAGCAAAGUCAACUUAGUUAAAUUUAAAACAGAGCAAACACCUUGGCUUCACUUCAUGCUUUCUUCAAACUUAGGUUUUGUUCUUUGUGCACCUUCCUGGAUGCUUUUUUUUCCUCUUAGAAAAGCACUUUACUAAACAGAAUGCUGAAGCUUCUUUUAUUCUUGUGUGCAACUUUGCUUCUUGUCAGCUCUGGGCUCUAUCCAAGACCCACUCAGCUACAGGUAGGCUUUUGUUCCCUUAUUUUGCUUUGGUUUUGUGGAUGUUAGUGUGAAUUAAAUGGAAAUAAGCUUUUGUAGCAAUUGCUUUGUGUAACGAGCAACAGUUAAACUAAUCACUGCAGUCUAUGUCUAUGAAGUGUCUCAGAAGAGAAGCUUAGGGCUUGCUUCUUUUAAAUAGUGUAUUAUGAUGGCUAAUUGCAUCUUAUCUAAUUCUUCAAGAGGGAGAGUAGAGUGAGGCUGUGUUGCCUUAGCUUUACAACACUUAACUCCCCUCCACAGGAGGAAAUAGUUCUGUUCCUGCUGCAGUUAAUGGGAAAUUCUUGUUGCUGCCUCUAUCCUGUUCUUGAGGUGCUGAAAUAAUAUGGCAGAGCAAGAGACUGUGAUCCUGGCUUUGGAGAGAACCUUUGCACUUCAUUUUCUCUUUUGUGAAAGAAAAUGAUGCUUUCUCACAAGGCGGGGUAUGGUAAACAAACAGAAAUCUCUUUUUGUGCUGAAACAUGUUGCCUAAAAUCGUAUCACUGUGUCCUAGUUUAUCUUGUUAUGUUCCAGUCUUUCACUAUGGUCUAGAGAGAUUGCAGUGCUUGGUUGUAUUACUGGAAAAGAACAAAGGACCUGACACAGGGUUAUCAUAUGUGUUGCUAAAAGUUCCUUCUUGUGCUGCUGGCAUGUUAACCUCCCACCAUGUCCAUGUUGGUGUGCAGCUCCUCUUCUAGGAGCGUGCUGGGGCGGUGCUUCAUCAAUUGCAGCACAAACGUCAGCUAUAAGCUAGCCUCUCCACCACUUGCUGACACCCUAGGCGUGCUCUUAGAUUGGGGUAGGGUUCAGGCCACCCCACUGCAUUAUUGAGGUCAGCAGGGCUAAAUCAACACUGUCGCCAGCUGAGGACUUCUGGGCUUUGUGUCAUUUAAGGCCAUCCUCGAGUUGUUUCUCAGCAUCCUGAAGCACCACCGAAAAAAUGCUGCUAAAACAACUCCAGUUGGGCACCAGUGGGGCAGUGGUGUUGAUGCAGACAAAUGAAAUAACUUAAGGAUCUGCGAAGUUCCUGUUCUUUAGAUGCCUCAAUGUAACUAUAAACUCCAUGAAUAGUUGAGCUUUGUGCAACUUGUCCAGCUUGCAGAUGUUUUUGGCGACGAUGUUUGGAGGCUGUAAUCUCAUGCUUAGUUGGUGCAGUACAGUUGAAAUGCACACAGCGAUAGAUUUUCCUUCUCCUUAGUGCUUUCCACGCUCACUGCUUUGACAGUAAUGGAGCUUCUAAUUAAGAUCUCGCAGCUUCAAUUCGUGCAAUUGAUGAAAUGUUCCAAUAUGCUCUAUGUGCAGAUUGCAUAGAAGGGCAGAUCAAAUCUAAAUGGAAACAGAGAAGGUUUUAUCACCUUGGGGUAAUUGCAUGUAGCGUGCAGCCGUUGAAAUUAGAUGUGACAAAAGCGGUUGUCUCUGUUGUCACUCAGAGCAGCUGUGGGUCACGGGGCACAGGUCUGUGAAAGCAGGGGUGACCAGGCCUGUCUGCUCCUUGACAAACAGUCUGAACUGUGUGCUCACAGUAGUGCUUGCUGUGUUUGUGUCCAGAAGCCUGUCAAGCUGACUUCUAGGGACCCUGGCCCUUCUUAUUCCCAUUAUAGUGCCCCUUGGUCCCCAGAAAGGGGCUUUCCUUUGGGGUGCUCAGCUCUUGCUUUGCUGUUUAAACAUCAGCCUUAUUUUAUGAUAGUUCUUGCUGAAGUUUGCACACUAUCUGAAAGCUUUAGCAAGUAUCCAAACCAAGGAUACUUGGUGGGAGUUGAACCCUAUUGCUGAUGCGAAUCUCUUUUCUGCUCUUUCCAGUGGCAAGCUUUAUUCUGCCAAUGUGUUCUUACCUAUGGUUUACCCAAUGUUUGUCUUUCCUGCAGAGCUGUGUGCCUGUUUGUCUAAAUGCUCCUCAGUGAGGCUUUGUUGCUCUCCAGCUCAGAGCCGGUUAGAGCUGUGGAACCGACCGCAGCCUGGGCCUGUACUGUGGUAGGAAGGGAGCACAGCUAAACUCUUGAGGACAAAAGACAAUGAAUGGACAGUAUAUAGUAAGGUUUUUUGUGAGCUGCUCAGCUCUUCCAAGUGGGGGAGGAAAAGGAUCAAAAGUGAGGAAUAUUAAAGACAAAUUGAAGCUGAUGUUUGAACUACCAGUCCAGGAAACUCCAGAUACAAACUGAAUGGAAAGUUUUCCUCUGAAGUCUACAAAGAAUUUUCAAGGACAAAUCUGAAUGGAGAACAGCAAGGAUUUUCAUCUUUGUGUACUGGAACGAAGUAGUCACUGGCAGCUGGAAAAGAAACUUCAGAUUCUUGGCAGUAAACAAAAAAAAAAGGGUCCAGCUCAGAGGCUGGGGCUGAGUAGAUUUAAAGGCUUUGAGGGGCAAAUCUAAUGGUUUGGGUACAUACAAUAGAACACAUUUAUGAAAAUGAUGACGUGGGAAAUGAAAUGUAUUAGUUAGGGCUUCAAAAUACGUAUACCUGCAUUUGGGUUCUGUGAGUACAUUUUCAGGCUGGAACAAUGCCUGAAAAUAUCUCAAACACAUUGCUUGCGCUUCAGGUUGCAGUCUGUCACUUAACUUUAAAAGAGUCAUGGAUGAUGUGCUCUGAGGUUUACAGAGAGCAAAAUCCUGGUAGGGCAGGUGUUAGGGAUGGACUCGUGCGUCCUUGAAGUGCUCCCCUCCCGCUGCAUCCCUUCCUGAACUUCUAAGGAACUCCACAAGCCUGGAUCCAUUUCAGUUCAGAUUCACCUGAAAUAAAGGUGAAUGUAUAUAGCCGUCGCCAGCAGGGUGAGGUCGUCUGCCUUAGCUUUCUAGGGUGGUUUUUAAUGUCUGAAUUUGGACUGAGACAUCAGAAGAGAUGUGCAAGGGAAGAAAGAUUCAUUUUAUUUCAAGCAGGAACAUGGACGUUUUUGUUAAUUGUCUUCUAGGACUUAACCUAUACACGACCUCAUUCUGGGAAACGUGCUCAAAUAGAACAGAAGUUUUCAAAAAAUCAUUUUAUUUUGGAUUUUUUUUAAUUGUAUUUUAAAUUUACAACCAGUUUUAAUAGUAACACACAGGUUUCAGGCAUAGACAAGUACUUCACAUUUUAGUGAAAACAAAACCCUUUUGUGGAAAUAUUCUCUACUUGAAUGAGCUGUUGGGAACUGCAGUUGGAUCCAGACUGGUAUUUGCCCGUGGACAGUGGAGGUGAAUCUGCAGCACAGGCUCAGGAACUCAGGUGGGAUAUGGGAGGCUGAGCUGUAUGUCUCUGUUCUGCCUCGUUCCCCAAGGAAAGCAGUUCUUGAGAUCUUGACAUCUUUUAACAAACAAGAAAAAACACCAGCCUGUGUGUGCUGCCCAUCCACUCUAACUUCCCAUAUUCUUUUAUUCUGACAGACUUCACUCCAUUGCUUGUUCAUGGACAAGGCAAUAGUGUUAUACUUGGAAGGCUUUGACAUACAGCCUCCUCGAAAGUGUAUUUUCUGAACUGAAUCCUCUUACUCUCAUUUCUGAAGUAGAAGCAUCCAGUUAUGCUUGGGAUACUAUUUUUUUGUGUGUGUGCAAAGGGUUGUGGUAGAAAAGAGGAAUAAGAGCUGACCGUACACAGAAAAGAAAGUAGGAAGGCGAGUAGAAAGUAGGAAAGUAGAAAGUUGAGGAGAAUUUUUUGAGAGAGCCAAAAGAACCAACUUAAUCCCAGCUGAUGCUGUCGGCCCUAUGGAGAUCAACAUUCAACAGCCAGGGCUGCCCUGUUCUGUGGCUGUGUACUGCUAUUGGUCUGCAGCUCCUGCUCCGAGGAGCUCGUCUGAUCCCACUGGGGGGAGUUCAGUACCAACUCUCAGCUGAUGUUCCAUGCCUUGGGUUUUGUAGCUGUGGUGGUUGAAAUCUGCCAACAGCAGAGCACUACACAGCUGUGCACUUGUGUUCAGAUUAAAAAAAAAUUACUUACUAAGACCAAAAAGGAAGAGAAAAGGAAAAUAGUACUGAUAAUAACGUAUAUUUGUAAAAUAAGUGAUGCAUAAUGCAAUUGCUGACUGAUGCCCUGAGCAGUGUCUGCCUCCCCUGGCCAGCUCCUGUCUCCAUGGUGUCACAAGGUAUGGAAUAUCCCUUUGGGCAAAUUAGGUCAGCUCUCCUGCCAGUGUCCCCUCCCAGCUCCUUGUGGCUUGCUGGCAGGACAGUAUGAGAACCUGAAACGUCCUUGGCUCUGCAGAGCAACAACUAAAACAUUGGUGUGUUAUUAACACUGCUUUUAUCCUAAAUCCAAAAUGUAGUAUCGUAUCAGACAACGUGGGUAAAAAAAAAAAAAAAAUCAACCAGCUGAAACAGGACAGGAGCCAAGGAACUAAAUGAUGGAAAAGAAUAGGGUGAAGGAGGUGGAUGUCCAGGCAGACAGUUCUAGAAACAGGCCCAUGGAAAGGCUUAUCUGAAGCAAUCUGAGAAUGGCUUGAGUAGAGAGAAGGCUUGGGAAAUGAAGAAAACAUUGUCCAACAGGAAGAGCAGGAGGAGCUGCUGGAGGUGAUGUGCAGCUCCCUGAGUGAGGAGUCCCCACAGUGCCUGCGCAAAAGGAUUUCAGUGCUGAUGCUGUUCUGGUACAGCAAAAGUUUGCUUUUCUUCUUUGCCACUCUGUGCAGAGAAAAAGCAAUCUAAGAUCCAGAGAAUUAAAAGAAAUCAAAUGUUUUCCUCAGUUUUCUUCAGGGCCCUUCAAGGGGGAGGACAGGUAGUAUGGCACCCCAUGCCACCCCUUCUGCCUGCACUGUGGCUGUAUGCCAGUGCAGGGUGUGUCCUUUUGGUUCCAUUGCAGUACACUGCCUCCAGGUAAAACUGAGAAUAAUUGGAGAUAAUGAUAUAGUAGUAACAACUAAAUCUUCUUGCAGUCCCAAGCACAGGUUGGGUGGAGAAUCGUCUGAGGUCAGCCCUGAGGAGAAGGAUUUGGGAGUGUUAGUUGAUGAAAGAUUCAACGUGAGCUGGAAAUGUGCACUUGCAGCCCAGAAGGCCAACUGUAUCCUGGGCUGCAUCAAGAGAAGUGUGACCGGCAGGUCGAGGGAGGGGAUUCUGCCCUUCUACUCUGCUCUCACAAGACCCCACCUGGAUUGGUAUUGCAUCCAGUUCUGGGGACCCCAACACAAGAAGGACAUGGAGUUGUUGGAGCACCUUGGAGCACCUCCUCUAUGAGGACAGGCUGAGAGAGCUGGGGCUCUUCAGCCUGGAGAAGGGAAGGCUCCAGGAGGACCUUAUAGCAGCCUUCCAGUACCUGAAGGGGUCUACAGGAAAGCAGGGAAGGGACUUUUUAUAAGGAUAUGUAGUGACAGAAUGAGGGGAAAUGGAUUUAAACUGGAAGGGGGUAGAUUUAGACUAGAUAUCAGGAAGAAAUUCUUACUGUAGGGAUGGUGAGAUGCUGGAACAAGUUGCCGUGUUUUCUAAUUCAGGACUAUGUUGCUGGAAAAGCAGAAGUGAUUUUUCUGCUUUAGAUCAAUGUGAAUGCUGUAUUCUGCUUAAUCUCCCUGUUCAUUUGGGAUUCAGGCCAUAGUUAAGGCGGUCUGAAGUGUUUUUGCAGCUAGCUAGUCCAUAAAGUACAGCACAUUUGGCCUAUUUUUGGAGGUUCUUUGAGGCAGAGAUGUUUACAACGGUUGCAUAAUGGACAGGACUUCUUUUGUAAAAAUCCUCCUCGUGUGCCAGCAUCUGGUUUCUGCAAUCUCACUGCUAAUCAGCCUGGAGGUUUUAGAAACUUUCCUUUUAUUUUAUUUUUUGGGUUUUAUUUUUUUGCCUGUCAUGUUCCCUGCUGUUGGAGGUGGGGAGAGGUGAGGCCUUCAGACCUGGCAGUAGCACAAAGCUGCUGCUUGCAUUUUUAGAGCUCUGGCCCUAAGCAGUCCAGCUGACAGAGGCCUGCUAUGUUUGCAUUUUGCAUUUUGCUGGCACUUUUCAAGUUAUUCUUGUCACCCUCUGAAUACCCUCUUUGCCCCACUGUAUUCUAGAGGGCAUGUUAGAAAAGCAGCACCAAAGGAUGAGAUGAUAAAGUCAGACCAUCUUAGAUGGCUUUCUGUGGAAGGCACUGGGACCCCAUGUCCCUUUGGUACAGGAAAGGGAAAUCUUUUAUUUGAAGAAGGCUGCAGAGAGUUUUAAAUACUAGAGCUUUGGGGAGAGCCUAUUUCACAUUUUCAUUUUGAUUAAAUUUAGCAUUGCUCAUUUUUCUGUCAAAAUUUAUAUGUUUAGGCAAUGAAUUUGAUACGCUCAGGAGAUGUGGAUCAUUUCACUUUCUGUGGUUCUUAUAAUGAAGGGUCAGGAGGAGGCAAGGCUUGGUAGCUGGCAGUACAGGGAAGUCCUGGCUUGUCUGGCACUGCAGCAUCCCAUCCAUCUGCCCAGGAUUUCUGUCUGUGUUCAGCUCAGUUAAGCAACGUGAUGGUGUUGAUUUCUGUCUGCAACAGAGGGGAUUGCGCUGGGCAGGUAUUUUGUAUUGUGCCGUCCUGCUGGGUUUUUUUUCAGUUGCUCUUUCAGAAGCUCCGAGCUCUUGCCCAGGAUAAACAACCACACUGUGCUGCUGAGUACUGUGCUUGGAACCUUCACACCCAAAUGCAGUCGUUCUAAGGAACAGCUUUGCUCUGUGGACAGACUCCUUCCUUCUGUGAGUAACAGGGUGGAUAGAGAGACAGAUUAACCUUGCACUAUACUAAAGCAACUGUAGGAACAACAAAAUGAGUGUUCACAGCUCAGGAAAAUCUGGAAUUUCAAAUAAACCCACUGCAUUGACCCAGGCACAGUUUGGCAGUUGUUGCUACAGGGUGUUCAAAUUAAACAAUGAGGUUCCUGGUGUGAUGGAAAAGACUUUGCAAAGCACAUUGGUUCCUCCAGGAUCCAAAUGCACUUUCCCUUUCCAAGGGGAGCUGUGGGCAUUUGGAUCCUUGCAGAGAAGUUCCUGAGGCCCUCUAUCAGCAAAACACUUUUAAGCAUGUCCUUAAGCACUUUGUUGAUGAAGGGGAGACAUGAACUCUUAAUUAUCUGUGCUGAAUAAUAAUCUGAGAGGUUACUUGAGUAUCUUUUCUAACACUUAUACUCUAGCUCUGCCCCAAAAGGCUGAGCCCAAGAGGCCAGUGCUUUACCCUCCGGCUGCAUUUGCCUUCUGUGAACGCGCUCACUAGCCUUCAAGUAAAUGGGGCCGAUAUCUGUCUCUCUGUAGGAAUUUUGCCUGUCCUGAGUGCUUACCAGCUUAGAAGAAUAGACAUUGUGCCUUAUUCAGCUUUAACGGGAGCAGUGUCCAUCUUAUCCAAAUACCGCCGAGUGGGGGGUUAUUAAAUCAUCUGAAGGAAAAAUGAAGAAUGAAGCUAGAAGGGGAUCUGGCUUUCCCUUUCACAUGCUCACAUCUGUAGCAGAAGUGUUGGUGGAUGCCUCAGCCCUACGGCACAGCUGGCACUUUGGAGCCCUUCAUGGGAGGCAAAGAAAGAAAGAAAAGAAACACCCCCAUUCCCCCACCAAAGCAGCGAGUGAUUGCAGCUGUUCUCGAGAAGGGUUGUGUCAGCACAACGUGCAUAGCCCUACUCAGAAAGUUGGUGUCAGCAGCCGUAAAAGCUGGCCUGUCAGCAUUUCUGUUGUAUUUCAUACACAAGAUGCAUGUUACUGAACAAUUACACCGAAGGCGGAGAAUAUUCCUUGGGAACACAACUUGGAAGUAGCAUCUUCCUGUGGGAACAGUUCAGACUGUGUGCUGCAGAAACCUGAGUGGUUUGGAUGCAAGGCCUUGCUGCUGGGGCUCACUGCAAGCUGUGUGGGCUGCCAAAGCCAUAGUGCCACAGCCCAGCCGGGAGCCUCAGCCCAUGUAAUUAGUCAGGUCCUGGUAAUUCUAAUGAGCUUCUGAUCAUGCCAACACAUUCAGUGUGAGGGAAGCUGGGUGAUGCUUAAGUUUUUGGCCUCCGAAGCCUUCGGAGGGUAUAUAUAACUCUAGCUUUGUCUACCGGUCUCAAUGUGUCAUUGUGCUGUAGCCACUUUAAAGGGCAGGAUGGAGAGCUGGGAUGGAGUUCUCAUCUCUGCUUACUGGGAAGCAGAAAUUAAUUAAGGAAAAAGCAAAAACCAAACCCAAAGCAAGCAAAAAGUCAUGCUCAGAGUAGUUAAGGAAGCAGGAGGAAAGGAGCAUAAAAUCCCCAGGCACUCGCUGUUGAUUUGAUCUCUAUCUGUGUACAGGAGCCUGACUAAUUAAUUACAUGUGGCUCCAAGUCUGUUUUCUGGAUCUCUUGCAGACCUCUGGAUGCUGCAGUGAUCCCAGUCGGCACAGAAGCUGCUAUGAUGCUGAGAUGUGUCUUACCACGUGUUGCCCACCUCCCAGCAUAGAGCUGCACAGAGCAGCAGGAUGCAUGAGGCUCUCCCUCCUCAACAGCCCUCAGUGGUGCUCCUAUGGGUUUGGGUGCUCGUGUGAGGCAGUGAGAGGAGUAUGAGGAGUGCUGCGUUCUGCUGGGUUACUGGUGCUGGGCAGAAACUUCAGCCCUAGGGGGGUGUAAGGCCUCAACAUUACUUUAUAGUAUAUGUACAUCUAGGAAACAAGGAACUACCACUAAUAACAGCAAAGUCUGUACCAAGAGCUCUGCAGCAGACAUCUGACCACAGCCGAAGCCACAUUUAAAGCAAGGCAGUGUCUCUGUAAGAGCUAACAUCAGUAUAACAAAGUGAUGCCAGAGGGAACAAGUUAGGAGAAAUGUUUCCAUGGAGUGGUAGUUGGUUUCUUUUCUCUUCCCCCCCGCACCCCUCUCUCCUUUCUUUUCCUUACAUCUUCCUAUUAUUUUUUUCAUCUUCAAUUCGUACUUAAACCUUUCCAACCUUUCUGAGAGUCAGGAGAAUGGUUCUGAGAGUCAGGAGCCCCUCAGAAAAGGUCAGACAACCCAAGUGCACGGCAUUCUGGCUUUCCCAUGGGCCUUCCAGUAGUAUGGCACUCAGUCAAAGCAAACAUGAAUUUUAUCUGUCAGAAGCAAGCUUUAAAGCUCGGUGAUGUGUCUAUAGCUUAAGGUACUUUUACUUUUUUGUGUUGUACAGGUUUUAUUUCUCUCCAUUAAACAUAAGCAGUCUUUUGUUUUCCUUCAUGAACCUGGUCAUUUUUCUAUACGUUUCGAUGAGAAUUGCAUUGGGCUUCUCCCUGCCUUUCGUAGGGCAGCAUUGAUCUUUUUCCAUUUUGGAGAGAGCUGAAUAGAUGGCUAUGUCUAACGAGAGGAGCUUAUCCUUUGUGUUUACAGUUCAUUUCAGGAUAUCUUUCAGUAUGACUGAUCUAUAAAUGCUAAUUGUGGGUGAGGCACGUGGUAGGGGGACUUCUGCAGUCUUGCAGUUUAUGUAUAGGCAAUGCAUAUUGCUCUUCCUAAGGUUAAUAACAGAACUGAUUUUUGUGUGUUGCUCUUCUGAGAGCAACUCAAUCAUUAAUUUUUAGGCAUACGUGCAGGCAGAAUCCUGUUCAUCUCACAAAAUACAAAUAAAUGCUCUGAGGGCUAACUGCAGGAGUUUCUGUAUAAGCUAAAGCUUAACUCUGUAGGACACCACCCCAUCCCCCACCCAGGAACUGAGCGGAUCAUCACGCCCAGCGUUUGUUUUCAACACCACCUUUGUGAAAGCACCUCAGCACAUCUGACUUGCAGGUUGCCUUCUCCCAUGUAGGCUCAUGGUGUCUCACGCUGCCCAGUUAGAGUGCUGGGUACCGUGGGGUUUUCACGACCUUCCUCAUCUGUCUGCAUGUCCUCCCUCGAGUUAUCUGGAAGCUGAGAUGUCUUCUCCACUGGUGUCCUUGAAGUGGGUUAAACUGGAGGACGGAAGCUCCCGAGAGUUUCUAAUGCUGUGGUCUUCCGACAACUCAAAUGAUUUUGGUGACUCAUAAGGAGACACAAAGGCCACCUUUUUCUCUGACUGUGAAAAUCAGAUGGCAAAACCCAACAAAUUAGGCCUGAAAGAACAGAAAAACCUCUCUUUGGUUGCCUGGGAGGGAGGAAAGGAUGGGGAUCAAUGGAUUCACUACAAAAGCAGUCACAAAGUUUCCUUUCUGUCCUGUCAUCCGUAGUGUCUUCAAAAACACUUCUUCCUGAGACAGAGCUUGAACUGGUUCUUUUUCAACUUCAGCCCUUUACGCUAUUACAACUAAUCCCCAGUGGAAAUAUUUCUUUUCCUUUCAUUACUUUUUGUGCGAAUAUUUAUACAGUUAUCUCGCUGUUUCCUUUAAUUUGUAUCCCUUUAGACCAAAUAAAUUUAGUUGCUGUCAUCUUGCUUUCAAAGUUGUAUUCUUAAGUAAUAAAGCAACGUUAAAUAUAGUUGGAAACAGACAACAUGAUGCACCUGAGGCUUCACAAUAAUUCAUGCUUUUGGACACAAUAGUGUCCAUUUUACUAAGACCAGCAAUACACUGCUGUGAAUGAGUCCCUUGUCAGGAGUUUUUGAGCAUUUGAAAUAACAGCUGUCUUUUAAAAUAAUUACGUGUGCGUGGCGUAAAAGCCUAUGUUUGAGAUUUUAUGUAAAUUCUCCAUCCUGUUUUAAAAGUAAUUACAGUGAGAACUUGGAUAUUUAAUUUUUAAACACUGAAUUAAUUUUUUUUUCCUUUUUCUUGUUUGAGCACCGUGCAAUAGCUUGGAAACUCCUGUGACAUCUGACAAGGGACUUCACGGUUCCUGAUGGAACGUGUUGCACGCUCCCUCACAUCCUGCUCUGGCAACAGUAACGCCAUUCAUCCUCCAGCAAGUGGGGCUGGGAGGAAGUCCAGGUUUAUCGCUCUUUUCCUGGGGGGAUUGGAAGGUUCAGGAAAUUAUGGGAUUUAGAGAUCCUUAACUUCUAAAGUAUUUGCUUGAACUGCUCGUAACUGAGCAAUUCAAUGUGCCGCAUAUAUUUUCAAAGACUCUUGCUUACAAUUUGUGUAUUAAAUGGUAUUCUGCAGUAGGCUUUUUCGCUGGCUUACCUGGAAAAAUAGUGUAGAAGUUAAAGAUGGAAUUCCAAGAAUUUGGCAGAAAUUGGCUCCUGUGCAAUUAUAGUAUAUCAAUUGCUAUUUGAUGUACACACUGUACUGCAAGUCAUUGCCUGGUAGUGUAUGCAGGCCUUCCAUUAGCUUCUCUUUGGAGCUACUCUUGAAAUGAAAAGUGGAUGCGAUGAGCACUGGAGGUUUAUCACCAAUUUCUCUUUGAAGAUCUUGACUGCCACUGGUUAAAACUUCUAAGUAAACUUCGGCAGCGUUAUUGAGAUGAUUACACUGGCACUGACUAAUAUUUCCAAUGGUUUGACCAGUAAUUUGAGCUGUGCAAACUCAUGCUUUUGGCUCCAAGCAUUGGGUAUUUUAAAGCAGGCUCACAAUGAGUGAUAGGAAGUUACCUUUCCCAGGUAACACUCUAGACACUUUUUGCCUAUAUACUUAGUUUAAAUUUACUAAGCAAGUAAGCAAUAAAAUAAGGUCCAUAGGGGUAUAUAUAACCAGAGUUGCUUGAAUUUACUGCCAAGAGAUGCAUGAUGAGUAUGAUUAAGAGGCACUUUAUGCUGACUUUCUAAUAACUCUCUGCUAAAAUAUGUACUUCAGACAGUUCUGUCAGCUUUAUUGUUACUUUCUAAUUUUGGUCUAAAGAUUUUUAUCAGAUGUGAUUUUUCCCUUUAGGGAUUAUAGGAUGCAUAAAUUUUUGAAGAUGAGAGAGUUCCUGUGAUUCAUUCCUGGGCUCCAGUGGCCCUGUCUGGACAUCUGGGAUACCUCAGAGAAUCUCAGCGGCACUGGAAGCUACUUCACCUUGAAGCUGGAGUCAGAGAAGAGGACUCUGCUCAACCCUGACUUACUCAAUAGCCUUUACUCUUCUCUUGUCUUUUUGAAGAACGGGUUUGUAGGGACAAGCUGAUAGCAGUCCAUUCCACCUUCAGGAAACCAUAUCUGGUAAAGGAUGGGACUCAUUUCACCUAAUGGUAGAGACCAAAUUCUUAGCUAGUUUACAGUGAGAGUCUAGAUUCCUAGCUUAGAAAUACAAGCACUUUGAGACAGGUUUUGUGAUGAGGAGCUGCCUAGGAUGAGUGAGGUGAUGCUACCUGCUUCUUACUUGUGACUGAAGAAGAAACCUGGGUGACUAAUUUGAACUACAGCCUCAGAGGGUAUAUCUACACGGAGAUAAUCUAGGUAUAUCUACACAAGGAAACCAUAAUGAGCCUGCAAGAGAGCAUAGGGGCACAGCCAGGUAUAGCUUUAGUACACUGCCACUGAAAAUGAGAAUGCAGCUUUGCUGCUGCAUUGAGGUCCAAAGCCAUGCCUUGGGGUGGCUGUAGCUAGGCUGUUGGCUGUAGGGUAUACAGCACUUGGAAAACCGUGCAGCAGGUAAACUCCACUGCAACACUCACCAUAUGGUCCGGGCUAUGGAUCACCAAACUACCCCAUCUUGUUUCAAAACCACCCAUUAAUUAGCACAGUGGCUGUGUAAAACCAUUUUAUGAAGUUCAAUGUGGAUUUGCUUAAAUAUUUGCCCUUUUUCUCAGGUGUUUUUUGUUUUUUUGUUUUGUUUUGUUUUGGUGGGACUUGCCAAGUUCCAUGUUCCUGCUGCACUUUAGGAGUAUUUAGGAUCAUUAGCAUUAAGCUUAACGUGAUCUUUUCUGGGAGGGUUGUGCAAAGCCUGCAACAGACAUACUUCCCUCUCAGGGAGCUAUUUAUGUCUCUUUAGAAAUCCUCAGGCCAAACUGAAGACACCCAUUUCCUCUUUGUGGCAAUAGAAGUUCCCCAGGGAAAGUCCCGGGGCAUUGGCCCUGAGCUGUCAAACCAAACACACAGCACUGCUUCUUCUGAGUACGUGAUGAAUCUCAUGGUUGUGUGAUGGUCUACAAGCCAACUCAUUUUUCUAUUCCUUUUGUCUUCACCUCAUCCUAUGAUAGCUAUAUGUAUAUGUGUAGACAUAAACACACACAUACAUACUGUAAUUGGGAAUGUGGGUGGGCUAUGCUCCUAGUUGUAUUUUAGAAAGCUAAAAUUAGGCUUCUGGUGUUAAAACUACAUACAGUGCCCAGAGCUGUGGUUCAGCUUUGCUUUCUCACUGUUUCCUCAGUAACCAUAGCUACUGCACCUUCAUCACUGUGAGCUUAUUUCUCCGAGAUUCCUUCUUUUAGAAUUACUGGUGUAAUUUCUUACAAAUACCAGCGGAAAGCUCCCAUAACGAACACCCCUCUCUUCCUCUGGCCUCAAUCCCUUUCCUGGCCUAACUUUUCCACCCGUAAAUAAAACCUGCCCCCAGUUUGCUCUGUGCUUGGUUUCCCACCAAACAAAAUUGGUUAGUCACCAAUUUGCCUGUACUCCUUUUGGUUGAUGAGAGCCCUUGAUGCCACCUGUGUCUAACCUCAAGAAAAUAACUAGUGCUCCUGGCUCCUGCUGAGUAUGGUGAUGCUCAGCAGUAAAGCUUAAAAGAUUGAUUAUCCUGAGUCAUUUUCACCAGCUACCAGAGCUGCUAGUAUUUUUUAAAAAUAUAUACUCACAGUGCCUCUCUUCAUAAAAAGUAUGCGAGGAUUUCAGGUCUUUGGCUAGCAGGGGAGCAUAAAUCAUCACAGACACUGUGAUGCUGAUGAUUUGUAUUCUCGUAGCACCUAUUCCAUAGUUCUGAACAGCUACAAAAUACAAGGCAUUCCCUUGCCCCAGAUGAUGGAUAAUCUUGGCAUAGAAGAAGGAAAAUAGCAGAUGGAUAUAGAUGCAUGGGGAGAUACAGUCGGUCUGGGUCGGGAUGAUGCCAGUCUUAGCAACUGUCUAACUGCAGUUGAAUUUUUGAGGCUUUAUGACUGGAUCAUUUCAAAGGAGAGAUACAACAUAAGGAUGACUGUUAUUGUGCUAUCAUAAAAGAAAAGGAGGAAUAUUUUGUAACAUAUCUAAUAAGUAAGGAAAGUCAUUCCUUUUUUGUGUGAUACCUGUUUACACUGUGGACUUCUACGUGAAUAACUCACUGCUGUAGCUGUCACAAUCCAAACCAAUGCGCUGCCAUAAAAACAAAGGCUAGACCAUGACACUUUAUUAUUAUUGUUAUUAUUAUUAAUUUUGACAUAGAACAUGGCUGUCAAAAAUGCUCUGCCUAGGUGAGCAGAAUCCAGUUUAAGAUCAAUGCCUUAGUGCAGGUGACUAUAGCUCUUGGUAGCGCUGCAUACUCCCAUUUCAGUGAGUGUAGAGGGCCUCAGCUAAACAGCCAUCAGCUGUCUGCUCUGCAGUGAGUCAAAUCAUUCUUAGGCUCCCUUAGCUGCAUUGGUUAGGUUGUCAUUGACUAUAGCAGAGCUUGUUGGUUAGAUUUCCCACUGAGUUUUCUUGGAGCUUGGAGGCACAGCCUAAAUUUCCAACCUGUUCCAUCCUGUUGCCCAAUUUCAGGUGGUCUGCUCAAAUGUAUCUGCCAAAUGAGAUGUCUCCAGCUUGGCCAAUAGAUUAUGCUUUUUAGAUGUAGGUUUACUGUAAGACUAGUAUCUUAUCUUGCUGUGCUGGACAUCUCUGAUUCCUCUGAAUACCUCAGAUGUCACCAGACAUCAGAGUUUGGAUGACUAAUUCAACUGUCCUUGCCCUUUAAUGCUUAAGAAGCCUGCUCAGAGCCUGCCAUCAUGAUGUAUGUCUUCACGUUGGUAGUCUCAAGAGCUGGUGUAUGAGCAGUGGGUAAAGGAUGACUUGGUAGCUAUCUCUUUCCUAGUGUUGGAGGAAUGCUCAGCCUAGAUCUAUGCAGAGGUAGCAUCCCACUAGGGACAAAGAAUUUGAUGUGGGAGUGAAAGAAAGCCAGUAGGCAGAGAUCCCACACAGCAUGUUCUCAGUUAAAUGCUUCAGGUUGCCAUGGCUUUUACUACAAUACACUGUCAAUGCUGUAUUCUUAUUUUGAAUGUCUUGUCAUGCAUGUCACAUGAACUGAUCGCUGUCUCUGCACUUUGUACCAGUGACUCAGCUCAGCAGGGAACAGAUACAGCAGGAGCUACCCAUCAGGUAACAGCAAUGUGGCAUCACUGGCAUAGGGGUGCAGUGGGCUUUCUGUAGACUGGGUGCAAACUUUUUCCCUGACACCAGGCAAACUCACGAGCUGCCAGACUCCGUGGUUUGUGCCCUCAUGACAGGGCUGUGGUGUUGAUGUGUCUUUCACUUGCUGUAGUACUUCACAGACCAGGUGAUGGCACCUCACAGAUCUAUGCCGACGUCUAACAGGCACACAAGGUCAACCUUAGGGCUAGGAAACUAAGAGAUCCAUGCUUUGGUCCUGCAUCUUGUGCGUACAGCCCACUGAGGUGAAGACACAUCAUUUUCUUGGUGUUACCAACCUCAUCCACCCUUCUUCACUCUCUAUGCUCAUUUUGCAUGUUAUUUUGUUGCAUUUUGCAUUUAGUUUUGUGGGUAAACAAUGGUGCUGGACUCAUGCACGCUAUCUGACUUGCACCAGUGCUAACACGAGCUGAUCCCAAGUGAGUUACUCAAGGUCAAGGAUGUAGCUUGCUUUCUCUGGUUUUGUACACAGGGCUGUACAAUAAGUCCUUGACUGGGACAAGCAACUUGCUUUAAUACAAGAAAGAAGUUGUUUAUUUGCAAGGAGAGCAAGACUGAUGCUGCUGUUAUGAAAAGCAGGCAUGAGGAAGGAUGUAAAUUUUUCUUCACAUCUAAACUGUAUGAUUUUCUCUAUAUUGUUAUAUUGAUUAGCUUUGCUAACCUUCUCCACUCUUGGAGGAGAUAAAUGCUUGUGGUAGAAGAAUUCUUGGUUACUUCAGCAUACACCUCUUUUGCAAAUGAAAGGAAGUGUUAGAGAAUGAAGAAGCAGCCCUGCAUCAGUGUAUGAAACUGUGUUACAUGCAGAGACAUCCACAGAGGACCAGAACUGUCUGUGUUGGUUUGCUGCCGCGCAGAGAAGCUGCAAUUAUAUUAAUCUAUCCUUUUACUGAAGUGGAAAUAGGAACACUUUCUGAUCAAAGAUUACAAAGACUGCUUUUAAAUGUCAGUUUUUAAAGGACAUUAGCUAUUAAGAGAUGUACUGGAUAGCAUCUCCUUGGUUUUGAGUAUAGUAUGCAAAAAUAAAAUGUAAUGGCUCCUCGUGGCAGGCUGCAUUUAGACUUCGUGGUGGUUUGGUGCUAACUCAGAAAAUCAGAACAAAACUUUAAUUUUUUGUACGUGCAGAGCUGCAGUGAUUCCACAUGCAUUCCUUUCCAUACUACACCUGUCUUACAGAGCAGACAACUUGUGAGGUAUCCUGAUUCCAACAUAUACAUAAUUCUGGAAAAAUAAAAUAAAAAAGAUAUUUUGAUACUAUUUAUGUAGCAGCUUUACUAAAAUUUACUCAGAAUGGUGUCCUCGGGAAAGCACAAUUUUAACCACGUGAAAGGUUGAAAGAGUUUACUAAUCCCAAGAGAAAGAAACUACAGAAACUUGCCAAAUUUAGUUGUUUUAAUUAGAGAUAUUACAGAAAACAGUACGUCAUUUUCUUCCAGAGAAUCAGUGUUCAUUUACUUACAGGAAGGGUAAAAGGUUAUGAAACUUUCCUGAAAGUAUACAAAUACAUUGCAUGAGGAAGACCUUAAAGUUUGUGAAGCAAAGGCAGCACCCUUAGACUAUGUCAUGCCUGGCACUUCUUGUAAAUGACCACUUGGAGUGAUUGCUCCAAGGUGUUGUAAACUGGUUGGGAUGAAGUUGAGGUUCUUCACGAUGGCUCUGUAUGGUGCUGUGUUUUGGAUUUGUAGCUGAAACAGUGUUAGCACACCAAUGGGUUGGUGCUAAGCAGUGCUUGCACAGUAUUAGAACCUUCUCUUUUUCCCACUCAGCCCCCACAGGAAGCGAGUGGGCAGGAGAGUGGGAGGGCAGCACAGCUGGGACAGCAGACCCAAAUGAACCAAAGAAAAGCUGAGGUAGGAGAAGAAAGGGUGGGCCAAUGUUCAGAGACUGGCAGGACAUUGGUCUGCCUGUGCAAUCUCCUGUGUUUCACUUCUAUUAUUCUCUUCCUUUACCUAUUAAAAUGUCUUUCUCUGAACCCACAGGCUCUGUCACUUUUGUUCUUCCUAUGUUCUCCUUCCUUCCUACUAGAUGAAAGGAAUGAGCAAGCAGGCCGCCAUGGUCCUUUUUGAUGCCUAGCAUGGGGCUUGAGAGGUUUCAGACAAGGAGAGAAUGGCACCUUCUCUUUCUCCUCUGGGACAGAAGUUGCCAGUCUUGUGCAAUGACUCUUUAAGUUCUUGGGCAUCCCUGCACAACAAGGGCUGUCACACCAGUAUGGGCCAUGAAUAUGACUUUGUCUUUGCUUAAGAAUAAUCAACUAGCAGGGAAUAUGGCACAGGAAUCUGCUCAGAAGCAGCCUGGGUGACAAAGAGGGAAAGACAAUCUGGAUUCUGUCCUAGGUCCGGCUAGGAUGGAGUUAACUCUCUUCAUAGCCACCUAUGUGGUGCAGUGCUCUGGAUCUGUGACUAAAGCAGUGCUGGUAGCACCCUAAAAACCAUACAGCAGCUGGUAUGCCAACACAGUUGGACAUCAAAGUGCCAUCAGGUCUCCAAAGAAGUAUCUCCAAAGGACUGAACCAAAACCAAUGGGAAUUCAGGACCAUCUUUAAGCAUACGUCAGUGUGUUCCAGGCCAUCCUGGUAGGGCCCUGUUUACUGAUAGUUUUCAUCGGCUCCUUGUGCCAUCUUGUAAUUUACAGAUUAACCUAAAGAGUCCUCUUUUGCAGUGGGACACCAGUAGUGGUGGUAAUACUUGAUUAUCAGGUGUGUAAUAUAACUUCCUAAUUAAGAAACUGGUGCACAUGGGUCACUAGUGCUCGAAACGGUCCUUAUGCUUUGUUUUGCAGUUUGUGCUGUACUUUUGCAGCCAUAUAAACCUGUAGGUGAUAACAUCAUAGUUAGCUUACAAUAAUUUAUGCUUGGAUGAAGUCCUGAAGCUGUACUGCUAUAGACAAAAUCCCACAGUUGGCUGUAUUUUGAAUUUACUAGCCAUCUCAGACAGAUAGACUAACUCCGGAAGCAUGGAAUCAGUAAUCAGUAAUCAUAGAAUCAUAGAAUGGCCUGAGUUGAAAAGGACCAUAAUGACCAUCUAGUUUCAACCCCCCUGCUACGUGCAGGGUCGCCAACCACCAGACCAGGCUGCCCAGAGCCACAUCCAGCCUGGCCUUGAAUGCCUCCAGGGAUGGGGCAUCCACAACCUCCUUGGGCAACCUGUUCCAGUGCGUCACCACCCUCUGUGUGAAAAACUUCUUCCUAAUAUCCAACCUAAACCUCCCCUGUCUCAGUUUAAAACUAUUCCCCCUUGUCCUAUCACUAUCCACCCUCGUAAACAGCUGUUCCCCCUCCUGUUUAUACGCUCCCUUCAAGUACUGGAAGGCCGCAAUGAGGUCUCCCCGGAGCCUUCUCUUCUCCAAGCAUCAGCAAAUACAUUACAUUCUCAAUUAAUUCACUACUGCAGGUCUUGUGAAGGGCUUGUUUCUGCCUAUGUUUAAAGGAUGCUUCCUUUUUUUUUUAACAAUGCAUUUUGUAAAAGUAGUACAGAGUCCAUCUGGCAGCAAUUCAUUUCAUUCACUUUUAAGUCUGCUAGCUUAGCCAUCUUGUUUUCCUAAACUUCUCCAGUGGUUAAAGAAGCAAGGACCUUUUCUUGGUCCUUUUUCACUUCUUCACUUUAUCUUUUAUUAGAAGAUAGUGAGAACUGACAGCAGACCUGUAGUGCAAAACAGUCAGUGCUGAGGACCUGGCCCUUACAAUAUGAAUAUUUUGGAGACCUUUUUCUUCUUGAGACUAGCCCUCGUCUACUCCUAUGGACUGAAUGCCCACUGCACCCGGAGUGGAUUAUGUGCACUCCUGUACUUUAUCUUCCAGACUGUUUUAUCUAAAAAAAUUAGGUUAAUAUGUGCUUUGAGACUGUGUGAAUCAUAAUGUGAACCAAAGCCCAGUAGGUGGAAGGAAUGGAAGGUUAGUGGUAAAAGCAUUCUUCUGAUCCAGACUUACACACUGAUAGAGAUGCACUCUCAAAGAAAAAGAAAGAGAGACUUCUUCAGUCCUAAGUUUAAAUGUUUGUGUUAGGAUUAAGUGAAUAAUGACCUAAAAGUUCCAGUUUCUCUCCAGGAGACUCUGAGCAAGUAGUUAGAGGCACACAUGCUGAAAAUGUCUGAUGUUGCAUGGGAAGCCAACAUCUUCUUUCUGUAUCUGAGAGAGAUGACAGAGAUGUACUUGAGGAUUCCUUUUGAGUUCUAUUUUGUUAUGCUUUUUGCUGUUGGGGGUUUUUUUGUUGUUGUUGUUGCUUUUUUUUUUUUAAGUCAAAUUGAAUCACUUCUCAUUUUCCAUCAUUUUCAUAGCCAGUAUGCUAAUCAUGAUUUCUUUCACAAAUUUUAUUCAUUUCCUGAUGUUUUCUUCCUGGCUCAGAACGUCUCACAAACACAUCAACCAUCACCAGCUUUCACCCCACCAUCUGAGCGCCAACCUCAUUAAAUCUCAGGACUGCAUAAAGGAAUACUGAUGCUGGAAGGAGGUUUAAAUCAUAUAUUGGUGGAUAGCUGACGGCACUGAGAGCCUGUGGUCUGUGAACAUACUGAAUUAUCAAGCUCCUUAAAGAAGUAAUGAAUACUGCUCAUACUAUCUGCAACAAGCAUUCCUUUGUAAAACAGAUGAAAGAGCACACCAAAGCCAUGAUAGUGGAGCUGUGUCUGCUGAAAAAACAGUGCUGAGGAUGAUUUCUCCUACUCGACACUUUUAGACCUAAAACUAUGCUGUGGGAUUUGGUUUUGGUUUGUUUGCUUGCUUGCUUUUGGCAUGCUCUCAGAACUACAGAUUAUUUGGCAGCUGAAGGCCAGCUAUGAGUUGUGUUGCAGGGUGACACAUUUCAUGGAAAUUUAAUGCAAAUAGCAAUCAUUCUCAUCAGGAGCAGAAACAGGAGAUCUCUCGCCUUUCUAGCAACUGCAGACACCUGCAUGAGAGUGAACUGCAUGAGAGUGAAUUGCUUGUGUCAAGCCAGCUGCCUUACAAAACAUCCAGCACAAUGGAUGCUUUUUACGACCAACAAACUUAAAAUUACAGCUCUUGUAUGCCUGGAAACCUUUAUUUCAUUUUCAUACUGUUUCCUUUGAAGAAUUUAUUAAUGCAUGCAAACAUGUAGCGUGUUCUUUUAACCUGUGUUUGCUGCAAUGUUUACAUUAUCUCCUGAUCUUAACCUGUAGCUUCCCAUUACGAAGACAUGUUACCAUAAAACACCACAAGGCAAAAAAAUGCCAUUGUUUUAAUGUUCUGCAAGUGUGCUACAAGUAAACUGUGCUGUACUGAACUCGGUCAAAAUACUCAAUGCAUUCUGAGCACACUACCACCAAUAUAUUGGUGGCCCACUUUGCCACACGCAGAAGGACAAUGAUGUGCUUAUUGACUCAUCUCUUUAUUCUGAACAGAGGGAACUCACUUGGAUGCCACUGGUCCAUUCAGCCCGGCCAAACACUGGUUUAAAAAACAGUGAUGUCUUUCCCAAGCACAUCAGAGGCUGCCUGUACUGUACAGAGGCUGCAAAGGGUUCAGGCUGUACUACGGGAUGUUACAAAGAUAAGCAAGCUGAUUUUGGAAUAUUGCACACACUUACCGUAUUCAGAUGAUUUUAGUUACUGCACCAGACUCCUAAAGUGAAUAUUCUUUAGGAUUACUUGUUAAGGCAUAACUCAGCUUGCCCAUAUCAGAAGAGUUUUCUAUACUUUGUUCACUCUUCAGCAUCACCUGCAGUAGUAUUACAGCUCUUCAACUUGCCACCUUGCAUGCUCCAUUCAGGUGACAAGAACACUUAAUGGCACUGAGCAGAUAAAGGGCUGGAGGGCUUUUACAGGCUCUACUAAAGUGCUUUCUUCAGACUAGAAGUGCACAAUACCACGGUGAUAAGGCUGUCCUGUGCUGAUCUAAGGAAGCCUCUGAUAAGGAAUAUAAUAGGAGCAAUAGGUAAGAUUAAAAAAAAAAAAACUUUCAUUCCAAAAACUGUGUAUCUGUGUAUACCAACUGCUUACAGAGUUUUCUCUGAAGCUCAUGUUUGCAAAGUGUUGCAUGCUUCAGCUCCAUCUUAAAUGGUUUCAUGCCACAAACUGUGGGCCAUUUAUUGCUCAUCACUCCAAAGCCAUUGAACUCUUCAGCUGGGCAGUCUGCUCUCUCCAGCCUUCCUACUGAGAAUAAACAAGAAAUUGGCAGGGAUGGGGAGAAGGGGACAUCAAAGAGUGCCAGGAAGGGCCAACACAGAACAGCCCUACCCUAUGCAGCCAGGGACUGGGCUGGUGUUUUAGCACUAUGCACAAUAGUUUAGCUAUGUGAAUCAGCCCACACAGCUGUAAAAAUCACUGGACCCGUGAUAAGAAAAUGAAAGACAGUACUGUUGAUGGUUUCUGGGUUCACUUGUUUGCUUUUAUAUCUCACUCUCUGUAUAGCUGCCUUAAUCACAAGCUAAAAGCCUUGUGAAGGAUCAGCGACCUAAAUAAAAACUGCAUCUCUGAUUAAUUUCACCAGCUUUUUUAUUUAUACGGGUUUCGUACAGGUGAUAUACAAAGCACGAUACAGGCUAGGAUAGACAGCAGGUGGUGGCAGUCCCUGCCUGCAGGUAGUCAUCCCACCCACACUGAAUGACCUUGUGCCACCUCCAAGUGGGACUGACUGCUGCGGAGUUUGACAGAGGUAAUGGUGGCAGCCACCUCCAAAUCGUCCAUGGUGAACCACAUAAGAUCCACAAUUGUCCUCCUGAGAGCAAAGUACAGAACUGCACAAAUGUCUAUCAUUUAACAUUGACAUUUUUUACUUUGUAGGAAUCCAAUGAGUUCCAUGAGUCAUG